AUGUUUAAAUUAGCGCCAUGUACCUCUUUGGGCAAUAUAAUAGAGGUUAACGAGGUAGAGAGUCAGCGAAGUGUUCGGCGGAUGCUCUCUCAUAGGCUUGGCUGUGUGAAUUGCUGAAAAAUCUCCGGGUAACCGGAACACAACAGCAGCAAUACCAAGAUAA
This 163-nucleotide non-coding RNA is filed under the name Anaerocolumna jejuensis. RNAcentral describes it as "GlcN6P sequence". It matches the Rfam family "glmS glucosamine-6-phosphate activated ribozyme aptamer". Rfam says of the family: This entry contains a glucosamine-6-phosphate activated ribozyme that is found in the mRNA for GlmS. GlmS is an enzyme that uses fructose-6-phosphate and glutamine to generate glucosamine-6-phosphate. The ribozyme catalyses self cleavage of the glmS mRNA that is thought to regulate GlmS activity. RNAcentral also lists the same sequence under 1 other name. Lineage: Bacteria; Bacillati; Bacillota; Clostridia; Lachnospirales; Lachnospiraceae. The record is from RNAcentral.